UUGGGGGCUCGAAGACGAUCAG
Molecule: non-coding RNA, 22 nt
Filed under: Arabidopsis thaliana (thale cress)
Lineage: Eukaryota; Viridiplantae; Streptophyta; Magnoliopsida; Brassicales; Brassicaceae
Source: RNAcentral